GUUUGAUCCUGGCUCAGGACGCUGGCGGCGUGCCUAAUACAUAAGUCGAGCGGACAGAUGGGAGCUUGCUCCCUGAUGUUAGCGGCGGACGGGUGAAUAACACGUGGGUAACCUGCCUGUAAGAGGAUAACUCCGGAAACCGGGGCUAAUACCGGAUGGUGUUUGAACCGCAUGGUUCAAACAUAAAAAGUGGCUUCGGCUACCACUUGCAGAUGGACCCGCGGCGCAUUAGCUAGUUGGUGAGGUAAUGGCUCACCAAGGCAACGAUGCGUAGCCGACCUGAGAGGGUGAUCGGCCACACUGGGACUGAGACACGGCCCAGACUCCUACGGAGGCAGCAGUAGGGAAUCUUCCGCAAUGGACGAAAGUCUGACGGAGCAACGCCGCGUGAGUGAUGAAGGUUUUCGGAUCGUAAAGCUCUGNUGUUAGGAAAGAACAAGUGCCGUUCGAAUAGGGCGGUACCUUGACGGUACCUAACCAGAAAGCCACGGCUAACUACGUGCCAGCAGCCGCGGUAAUACGUAGGUGGCAAGCGUUGUCCGGAAUUAUUGGGCGUAAAGGCUCGCAGGCGGUUUCUUAGAAUCUGAUGAAAGCCCCCGGCUCAACCNGGGAGGUCAUUGAAACUGGGGAACUUGAGUGCAGAAGAGGAGUGGAAUUCCACGUGUAGCGGUGAAAUGCGUAGAGAUGUGGAGGAACACCAGUGGCGAAGGCGACUCUCUGGUCUGUAACUGACGCUGAGGAGCGAAAGCGUGGGGAGCGAACAGGAUUAGAUACCCUGGUAGUCCACGCCGUAAACGAUGAGUUCUAAGUGUUGGGGUUUCCGCCCUUAGUGCCUUAACGCAUUAAGCACUCCGCCUGGGGAGUACGGUCGCAAGACUGAAACUCAAAGGAAUUGACGGGGCCCGCACAAGCGGUGGAGCAUGGUUUAAUUNNACAACGCAAGAAGUACCAGGUCUUGACAUCCUCUGACAAUCUGAAUGGACGUCCCUUCAGGGCAGAGGACAGGUGGUGCAUGGUUGUCGUCAGCUCGUGUCGUGAGAUGUUGGUUAAGUCCCAGCGAGCGCAACCCUUGAUCUUAGUUGCCAGCAUUCAGUUGGCACUCUAAGGUGACUGCCGGUGACAAACCGGAGGAAGGUGGGGAUGACGUCAAAUCAUCAUGCCCUUAUGACCUGGGCUACACGUGCUACAAUGGACAGAACAAAGGGCAGCGAAACCGCGAGGUUAAGCCUAUCCCACAAAUCUGUUCUCAGUUCGGAUCGCAGUCUGCAAACUCGACUGCGUGAAGCUGGAAUCGCUAGUAAUCGCGGAUCAGCAUGCCGCGGUGAAUACGUUCCGGGCCUUUACACACCGCCCGUCACACCACGAGAGUUUGUAACACCCGAAGUCGGUGAGGUAACCUUUUGAGCCAGCCGCCGAAGGUGGGACAGAUGAUUGGGGUGAAGUCGAAACAAGGUAGCCGUAUCGGAAGGUGCGGCUG
Molecule: ribosomal RNA, 1477 nt
Filed under: metagenome
Description: bacterial SSU rRNA
Rfam family: Bacterial small subunit ribosomal RNA
Source: RNAcentral